AUUGAACGCUGGCGGCAGGCCUAACACAUGCAAGUCGAACGGUAGCACAGAGAGCUUGCUCUUGGGUGACGAGUGGCGGACGGGUGAGUAAUGUCUGGGAAACUGCCCGAUGGAGGGGGAUAACUACCGGAAACGGUAGCUAAUACCGCAUAACGUCUUCGGACCAAAGUGGGGGACCUUCGGGCCUCACACCAUCGGAUGUGCCCAGAUGGGAUCAGCUAGUAGGUGGGGUAAAGGCUCACCUAGGCGACGAUCCCUAGCUGGUCUGAGAGGAUGACCAGCCACACUGGAACUGAGACACGGUCCAGACUCCUACGGGAGGCAGCAGUGGGGAAUAUUGCACAAUGGGCGCAAGCCUGAUGCAGCCAUGCCGCGUGUAUGAAGAAGGCCUUCGGGUUGUAAAGUACUUUCAGCGGGGAGGAAGGCGUUAAGGUUAAUAACCUUGGCGAUUGACGUUACCCGCAGAAGAAGCACCGGCUAACUCCGUGCCAGCCGCCGCCGUAA
Molecule: ribosomal RNA, 504 nt
Filed under: uncultured bacterium
Lineage: Bacteria
Description: partial 16S ribosomal RNA
Rfam family: Bacterial small subunit ribosomal RNA
Source: RNAcentral